Strigops habroptila (Kakapo) is the source of this 1530-nucleotide long non-coding RNA. RefSeq lists it as uncharacterized. NCBI's taxonomy places the organism in Eukaryota, Metazoa, Chordata, Aves, Psittaciformes, Psittacidae. The transcript is spliced from 2 exons. The record is from RefSeq and is a predicted model, not a curated record.
CUGCUACUGUAUGAACAAAUGUAAUUCCCAGUUUCCUACUCUAAGUGCUGUGGCAUGUAAAGGAAAAACUUCCUUAGCCUAUUGUAUGGAAACUUUCUGCUAUGUUUGUUAAAAAUUGUCUGUAGAAUAUUCCUAGUGAAAGAGGCAGUGAGCAUUCAGAAAAUGAGAAGAUGAGCUUUUAUUGAGUAUUUCCAUUGGCUGGUUUUUGGUGUGGUAAGUUCUCUGAAUUGGCUAGAGCUUAUGAACUUUUUUCUUGACAGAGCAAGGUAGUUCUUCAUAAAGACCUAUAAAUCUUCCAACUUUAAAAAGCCUUUUUAAAAUAAGAUGAUAAAAUUUUGUUAAACUAGGAUACAUCAUGUUUUAACUGUAUUUUCUUUUUUAAAUACAGACAAUUAGAUCACUCUAAAGUCUUUCAGUACUGCCAUAACUCUUCCUUGCCUGCAGUGUCUUGGCAAGCAGGGACUUAUUUUCAGGUUUGGUUUUGGUCACCUUCCUGAUUUAAAUUGUAGCAAAGUGCUCCUGUGGUUCCCCAGAAAAGUCAAAUAGGUGUAACACUGGCUCUUUGAAUGUCCCAAUUAUGUAUACCAUUAGAAGGAGUUUGAAGAGGUCCUUCUUUUUUGUCCAAGUUUUAUGUCUGUGUGAUUUCUGAAGAUACUUUACAGGUUCACUUUAUUUUUCUUCUUUUCUAACUAGCCCUGAUGUUGUUUUGCCUAGGGGAUGUGAAAGGAAAUGUUGCAGCAAAAGUGUCUGUUGCCCAAUAGCUAGAUCACUUUUUUUCCUGAAGAAUAACAUGCCGAACUAUUCAUAGGAGGACUAAGGCUAGGAAGCCAGUUAGGUCUUAUUUCAGUCCUCUGGCUAAUCCAAGCACAUUUCUGUUACUAUAUUACCUUCAGUUUUCUGGUAAAAGCUAAUGGUUGCAGUGAGAAAAUGCAGUUCAUGUUCUAGGAAGAUGAUUAUUAAACAAGUCCUUAAAAAUACUAGCUUGUUUGCUGUUACUCUCUAAAAAUCUCUAUCAACUGUUACUGUUAAAUUCAGCUGUCCCCUUCAUUUAGGAAACUUACAUACGCUAUGAAGUAGGUUGGUGGUCUGUUUAAAAAUAUAUAGCAUUGUUUUGUCAGUUUUGAACUAUGGUCAUACUGCUGUCUAAGAGGAGAACGUUCUGUUUAGAAAACAGCUAAAGACCUGCCUUUGGACCACACAUGAUGCACAAAUACUGGCAAAUGCUCUUUUGUCAGUUAAUGUGGGAAGCUUUGUUAAGAGAAAACGCAAACUAAAGUAUGUGGAUGCUGGUGUAAAAUGCCGGACUGCUUGCUGUCAGGGGAAGCUCUGUAGAGGUACAGGAUAAAUUCACAUGUACAUGCAGUAGUUGCUAUUUUAAGGUGUUUCCAGGCGUGUGUGCGUGCAUGUGUCUUCUACACUUCUGGUAAAGUGUUAACAUGCAAGCUUCAGAAAGCAAUUUAGGUAAUUACUGUAAGCAGCUGUUUACUGAACAGAAGUCUGAAGUAUAUCAUUUGUAACCUGGGUGGUCCA